Thamnophis sirtalis is the source of this 4039-nucleotide non-coding RNA. NCBI's taxonomy places the organism in Eukaryota, Metazoa, Chordata, Lepidosauria, Squamata, Natricidae. The record is from RefSeq and is a predicted model, not a curated record.
AGUGUCGUUAUACACUACAGUACACCUAUCCAUAUGCCUACUACAUGGAAUCGGGUCCGAGGAAGAAAUUGUUUGAAUACCAACAGGCUCAACUUGAAGCAGAGAUUGAAAAUCUCUCAUGGAAGGUGGAAAGAGCAGAUAGUUACGACAGAGGAGAUUUGGAGAAUCAGAUGCACAUUGCUGAGCAGAGAAGGCGGACUCUGCUGAAAGAUUUCCAUGACACAUAAGACAGCAGGAGCUACCAGGGCACAAAGCUGGGAGCAAAGUAGCAAGAUGGCGGUGCGAGCAACGUGGGAAGCGAUCAGAGGAACUGGCCACCGCCUCUCCAUAAAACAGGGCUGAGGACAUCACUGCACCUUCCCCUUGCAAACCAGACAUGAGCUAGCACCACCGCUUGGUCUUCUAUUUUUCUUCUAUUUUCUGCUUUUUUCAUUUUUGGCAGGUAGAGGUUGAAAUUCAGUUGGCAUUUUUUCCUGGGACAUGUUAUUCCCCAGUUCUUGAAUUGUUUUAGAGGGGAGUUUUAUUUCCCCCGCCCUCUCCUGAAUGGCUGUUAAUAGUAUUAGAACAUUAUAAACUUCUGUAAUUUUUCGACAGUUGUACAGUGAUACAACAGUGGUUGAUACAAAGUGAACUCUAGAAUAACACAGACCCCUUUUUAAAAAUAAAUUGGGACUGGCGAGUGUUUCUUUCCCCCCCCCCCCCCCCAAUAAGCAGUUUGUAAACGUAAUGGCUUACUUCUCUUCUCUUCCCUAAACUCACUUUGCCAUGAAGGUUAUGAAAUAGUCCAGCUGUUGGUUUGUUUUCCCCUUUUCUGGGUACUUUCUUGCUUGCUUGUCCCGGGAGUGCAUGAGAUGAACAGGGCCUGUGCCAAGCAGAAUCAGCAGUUGCCAAAGGACAGCAUAAUUGUUGAAAGGUUUUCCUCCUUCUCCUUUGACCAGGCUGGAGCAAUAGGGCAAAGCUCAAAGCAGCAUGGGACAGUUCUAGUCCCAGCACAUGAAGUUGAUCUCCUGUAUGGAUUUAUUGCUUUGUUUUGUUUCCCUGGACUGCUACCUACUGCCAGAUUUAAAAUACUUGGAGAAGUUCAGGGAGCAUAACCUUGCUUCUUGGCAGCAUAAGAGUGAGCAUUAGAUUUUUUUUAGGGCAGUAGAGCCAGCCAUGUUUGGGCCAUAACUUGCAUAUCUGUGCAGCUCAGUCCUGCACAAUCUGAUUCUUUAGGUGGCUAUAAGGUGAUGCAUCAGAGUUGAUCUCUACUACCAUAACAAAAACAGACUUUCCUACUAUACCGAGGAAAAGUUAAAUUCGUUAUUAAAACAAAACACACACACCAGCAUACGUCAGAUCCUGCUAAACAGCCACCACUGUUUUCGAAACUCUUCUGCUGCUAGCUGAGAAGUAACCAGCAAAAAAAAAAAACCAUUGUCCAUAAUUCCAUAAUUACUGUUAAGAUUCAUAGGUGGCUGCUUACUGGCAGAGGUUUGUUAACUCUUGAAACGUGUUUAAUGUCAACAAUUCACAUCAGAGGCCAGCUUUUAAAAUGUAUGAAAAUAGUAGCUAUAUAAAGUACAUAUUUGGUUCUGCCGAUAAAGAAAUGGAAGAUGGGGCUGCCGUUUCCUGAAGCUGCUCCAAUCGAUGUCUUGAAACAAGAAUUUCCUUGCAUCCAUGUUUCCAAGAGCAGGUUGCACUGAGAUUUUUCUAUGUGCAUUGCUUAUGACCUUUGGGAUUGGGGUUAGAAAGCUUUACAAGAAUCAUUAUUUUCUGCUUAUGAAACCUGUUUUCCUAGCCUUUUGGUGAAAGUUAUUUGAUUAGCAUUUUUAGAUUUUGCCCUAGGUUUUGGAGGUCAUCAACCCAAGCCGUCAUCUUCCAUUCAGCUGCUGCUGCUGCCACUACUACCUCAGGCACAAGGAAGAAAAUGAUAAGCUUGUUUCCUAGACCCUAAUAUGGCUUCUCUGUUCCCAGCUAACCUCAGAUUAAACCAGUGGGUGGAAGAAGUAAAAAGCUUGUUGGGGACACAAAGAGAAUGUGACCUUUACCCAGAUUCACCCUUGCUCUUUCCCUUUCCCCAUUCCACUGGACCCUGGUAGCAUAUGUGGUAUGAUGACCUCAGCAGGUUUGCUCUUUUAAUCCAUAUCUUUGUCAAAAACAGAGAUCAUGCUUGUUUUUCUGGCUUAAAUGUUUUAAUUUCUCUGCAUGAAAACCACUGCUGGGCUUUGAAAUUUAGAAGCAGGCAAAACCUUUUAUCAAAUGCAAAGUGUUCAGUGUGUGUGUCAGACACUGCUUACUACGAUAUCUGUUUGUGUUAAUUCUGUGCGGUGUUAGCACAAAAUUAUUGACCUCUUGAUAGAGAAAACUGCUGGCUUCCUAACUUCCUCAGUAAUGCUGUCCUGAUCUUGCUUGCUUGCUUACACAAAGUUCAGGUUUUGAGGGAGGUGAGCAUCUUUUUCUCUUGAAACUUUAUAAAGUUCAGACUGAGCUGUUUCUGCUCAUGAAAUUAACUAAGGUGAAGUGUACAUGUUUCUUGUUCAGAAUUAUCCAAUGCAAAAGAGUGGUGUUACUUGCUAUAACUGGCAAAUACCUGCAACUGGUUGAAUUUACAGUAGCACAAUCACGACUUGCAGUGGAAAAAUUUUCUCUGUCUCCAAAGUUUGGCAUAUUGUUCAGAUGCUUAGAUCCAAUCUCACAUGGUGUACUAAGAUGUAGUAUACAAUUGUCACAUCACAUAAUGCAACAUAUUGAAGACAGGCUUCUGCUUGCUCAGGAGAAUAUUCUCACUUUUUGGUCUCUUUGUCAGCCUUCUGUGCCCUCCAGGGUUUGAGGAGAGAUGGCUGCACAGAGAGGAGGAAUCUACUCAGCUGAUGGGUGACAAAUACAGUUAGUUGUUACCGCAAAGCUGCUCCUAAGUUUGGAACCAAUACAUUCAUCCCAGAGUUUAGAGAUACGCCCUACCUCUUUUUCUUAUCUUCCCUGUUCUAGAACAGCACGAUGAUUGGGUGCUAUCUAAAAGUUUUUUUUAUCAUUGGCAGAAAACAGUCCGUCCGUCCUAGAAAUAUAUUUAUUCUCUUCACUCUGUAGCAUUUUUCAAAUUGAUCUUACAAUUUAAAAAAAACCUUGUUAGAAAAUUUCACUUUGUGAUGAAAUGGACUGUAACUAAAGGGCAUCUAAGCCAAAGGGAAGGCACUACAUUUCCCUCACAGCAGGUUAACAUCCUAUACUAGGAAUUUUGGUCUUCCUCUUGUUCUAUCAGGCUUAGCCUAAGCCAACCUGGCAGCUAUUUUCAUCCUUCACUCUGCAUGUUGAGAUUGUUGGCUGGGCUUACCCUUGACCACAAUGUUUAUUUCACCUAGUUUGGUUUACUUUUUAAAAUUCCCUUUCACAACUUGCCUUCCUUCUUUCUAAAAGAGAGAGACAGAAAGCUAAGGCAAACAACCACCUACCGAUAGUAAACACCGAAGCACGUAGAUAGUAUCCAAUUCUCCUGUCCAGUAGAAUUCUAUACAUGUCAAAAGCUUUCAUACAGACAGCAGCAGAGGCUGUGCAGAUAAGGAAGGGAGAGAUUCUGUAACCAGUUUUAUGCUUGUCCUCUUCUAGCAUCCAUUCUGUAGCAGUAAAAUCACUUUUUUUUAUUUUUAACACUUAAUGCCAUGCUAGUGUUACAGAAAGAACUGAAGACUUUUUGUUACUGUUCUGUCUUGAUCCAUUUAAACUUGUGUUUCUGUUUUUCAAAAUUCAAUUUCACUUUAGUAACUUUUUGUAAAAACAAAACAAAACAAAACUUCUUAUGUGCUCGCUCAAGUCUGGACUGUUCCAAAUUUUCAGGUAGUAGCUUCUGCUAUGGAAGCUUUUUUUUUAUUACGCAGAGUGCUACAUUAUCAUGGCUGCCUUUGCUAUGUCCCUCACUGAGAUUUGGGGGAAAGCAAUCUCAAGAAACUGCCAACACUUUUCCGGCAUUAGGAGGGGAAGAGGGCAGAGGAGAAAGAGCCCUUUAAAUUUUCCCCUCCUGAAAUUGUUUUAUUUGAAAUAAAUUGUGAAUUUCUAAUUUUAA